GAGCCCAUUAGCUCAGUUGGUAGAGCAUCUGACUUUUAAUCAGAGGGUCGAAGGUUCGAGUCCUUCAUGGCUCACCA
Molecule: transfer RNA, 77 nt
Filed under: Bacillus safensis
Lineage: Bacteria; Bacillati; Bacillota; Bacilli; Caryophanales; Bacillaceae
Description: tRNA-Lys
Rfam family: tRNA
About the family: Transfer RNA (tRNA) molecules are approximately 80 nucleotides in length. Their secondary structure includes four short double-helical elements and three loops (D, anti-codon, and T loops).
Source: RNAcentral